Molecule: RNA transcript, 4445 nt
Organism: Tyto alba (common barn owl)
Lineage: Eukaryota; Metazoa; Chordata; Aves; Strigiformes; Tytonidae
Exons: 5
Source: RefSeq, a predicted model, not a curated record
CGGCCGGCCCAUGUGCGCGCUGCCGGCGGUCGCUCGGGUGCUGCUGCCGCUGCCGCCGCCCUGUGGGCGAAGCGCGGUACUGCAGCCCGGCGGACGGCGUAUGCGCGGCGUGUCGGGCGCGUCCCGGCAGCGGGUGGAGGUCGGGACCACCGGUGAGGCGAGCGAGCCCCUUCGGUGGUAUGCGGGGACGUCUCCUGCCCGCUGGCCACCCGAGUGUGGUGGGACGGGAAGCUUCAAACCUCCCGCUGCCGCAGGCUCCCGGCCCGCUGGAGUCGAGCCGGGACAGCCAACCCGAGGCAGAAGAAGGAGAGGAUGCGGACACAGCACGCCACACCAAGCCCCGACCCCGCCAGGCACAGCCACCGGAUGCCUUCUCAGAUCGCCAGAGCUCUCCCCGAGCCUCUCCCGGCCCCGCUCGCCCUGUACGGCAGCCCUCGGCUCCUGCACCUCCCCUGAAGCCUGUCUCGUAGCCCCAGGUCACCCCAAGUCCUGUCGUGAAGAGGUCACGCUGAGGAUGGAGUUGUCUAUUCCUCCCUUGGGGAUGCUGUUGACUGUACCUGCCUCAGGUGUGCGUGGAUUGUCUCUGCCCGACCUCGCUCUCCUCAUGUGGGGACAAAAAGGGACAGGCAGAGCACUUGCUGGCUGUGGACAGGAGCUGCUGUGGCUGAAGCUGGAGAGGUCAGAGAAAGGUAAAGAAGUAAUUGAGGGCCAUCCAGCUGACAGACUCCCGCUGCAGACAGAGAGAGCCUGCCACCCUGGAGAGGAAGGAUCCCUCUUUGUAGUCUGUAGCAGGCCAGCCUGCCAACACGGACCACAGGGUCUAUAUGUGUCACCAACGGCCCAGUACGGCUGUAUAGUGCCCGAGUGAGCAAGGCUACGUGUCUAGGAAGCCUUGAAUUUUAAGAUCUGUGAGACACCCGUGUAUUCUCUGAGGUGAAAGAGAGCCAAGUGACUGGAGUUGCAGAAGAGGAAGGGAGGAGAGAAGGAGAAGGAAAAGCGUCUGAACUGUCAAAGCCUCCUGGCAGUGUUGUGAGUGAGAGCUGUGGUAAAGGUGCCGAGGGAUAAGAUGCAUACCAAAGUGAUGGAGGAGGUGUUAAGUGGUGAGCAAAAUGGGAUAUUGGUACCAGAGCUGACUCAGGCAAGCUGCCUUUGGAAUUGGAUGAACACUUGAGAUGAAGAAAGAGGAAGCUGGCAACUUAAAGGGACAUCCCUGUUAGCUGAUGCUGUUUUUCUGUUGACGAUGGUUUCAGACCUCUGGCCCUUUGAAAACUAUGAUGAGGGGAUCAAGGUCUGGAGAGGGGUUGGGAGGAGUUGAGUGGACAAGGUCGGGAACUGCAGGGAGGGCUAUUAAAGUUAGCGUAGGGGAGUGUACUGUCCAGGAACGGUAUCCUUUGGUCAGGCAAGGGAGUGGGUUACUUGUCAGCAUGACAAUAGUUUGUGUUGGGCAGGACAGGUUCCAGCCUGUGUCUGUGCAUGUAGCUCACGUAGUCUGUCUUGUGUCUUAUACCACACUGUCCUCGGGUUUUAAUGUCUCCAUAGCUCUUUGUCGUGAGCAGACACCUCAGUAGCCCUCCUGAGAAUCUUGAGUGCAUUGCUGCACUGGCAUAGUGCCUGUCGAGCCCUUCUUGUCUAGCAGUUGUGGCCUAAAGGAUGGAUUUGUCUGUGUUUUGCAUUGUAGAUGUUCUUGAGCGUUCACCUCUUGUGCUGACAAGCUAGGCGAUGCCUGCAACUCUUCUGUUGAGAGUUCUCUUUGCACACAGUAGUCUUCUGGGGUUUCAUCUCUGUGUCCUUAAUGAUCUUAAGUCUCAAAGCCUAGCUUCUCAGGUAUCCAUCAUUCUGGUUUUGACGGUAGCUUUCUCUCAUGGGCCACAGUAGUUGCCUCUCAUUCCGGGGCCGCUAUAGAGCAUCUGCACUGUCCUGGCACCGUUGAGCUCCUCUGCUGGUGGCAUCUUCCCUAGGAUGGCAGUUCUCUCUCGUGAUCUUCUCACAUCUCACAAUUGUGUUGUUUGUGGUGUCUGUCUGUGUCAGGGUUGGAGCUGCCCUGCCCAGGGGUGUAGCAAUACUAAAGACAGUGAUAGCAUAGCUUUAUGGUUGUAUAGUAAUAUGUUGAUCUGCCCUGAUACUUUUGGCAAAGACUGUACGGUCCAUCUCCGGGCAAAUAGCUGUAGACAGCUGCUAGAGUUGUUUUCACUGUGUUUGGCAGGUGCCAGAGGUUGGACUCUGGCCUGCUGGGAGUGGUGGUCAGUGUGGUAGUUGAGCGGGUUGAAUCUCAAAGGAGCCUUACAUUAUACGCGGGGUUCAACAUGUGGGGUUUGGUUGUUUUAGCUGUAGUUAGAAGGCAUAUGCAAAAAGAGAGACCUUUGGUCUUGUAAAGCUAUCAGUUAGUGUCUAGGUGACUACCUUCACAUGAUUUGGGUUUCUCAGAUGCAGAGUGACGAGCCGUGUGCCUCAGGGUGACAGAAGAGGUAAGCAGAGUGCUGGGCAAAGGCGGGCCAGUGUCCGAUGUCAGAGGAUAUGUGUGACUGAUGGCUCUGAUGGGCUUAUGCUGUUUCGGGUUUAUUUGCUAGGUGUGAAUAGAUGAGUGAAGUGGGAUAUCUGCACCGGAGCAGACUUUAGCAAGGUAAGUGGUGACCAGCGUGCCAAAGUAGUAGUUUUCUGAGGUGUCAUACCCACCCUAUUAUGUACAUACAUAUCCUUAUCCAAUAGGGAUAUAUAGGGAUGGGGGUAUGUAGACCAAAGAAUCUGAGUCUGAGCAGCUGAGGUAAAGCAGCAGAGGAGAAGUGCUGUGAGCAGGCUGAGGAUUUGGGUGGCAUCUUCCGUCUGCUUUUUCCCCUGUUUUUUGGCAGGUGCUGCAUUCCUUUCCAGAGGGUUGAAGCUGCACAGCUAUGAGCAGUUUGAGAAAAGGCAAGAGAGUUAAGUGGUCCACUUGGGCUAAAUUGCUGAGGGUCCAUGCAACUGUGAUGUAUUACUUUGAAAGCUGGAGCAGAGCAAGUGAAUGCAGCUAUUUAGGGCUGUGGUCUCACGGAUGAAGUGUGUAUUAAACAGCUUUGUUUUGUUUGUGAAGGUAACAGAGCGGCAUGAAGUGAUUACAGGAACCUCGCAUUUAGGCAACAAGGCCACUGUCGAGGAUGGAUACUAAGCAUGGACCGUGAGCUGUGGCACCAUGAAAGCUAAGUAGUGGGACAGAUCUGUGGGGAGCAGAGUCCAUGUGUGUCCAAACGUUGGCAUAACGGGAGGGUUAGUCUGUGGGGAGUCAGCCUCGUGCAAGUGGAGGGAAUGAUACGUCUCACGACGUGUGCCCUGGCAAAGCAGCUCUGGGGUGAGUGGGUAGAGUUGUGCAGUAUGUCUAGUGUGUGUUCAUACGUGUUCCUUAGUUACCUGAUGUGUUGAUGUUUGUCUUGGCCUUCAUGUCUGAGAAGCCUCAGGCAUACUCAUCCUACUGCAAUCACAAUAGCCAUCCGUUGCGUCUCUGUGGCCUCCCGUUAUUGGCAUGGUGCCAAUUCCGACUUGUUUAGCAGCGUGACAUAGAAGCUCAAUGCUGUUGGUCUGGUUUAGCGUUGUAGGUGCAUUUGGCCAGUCUUUCUUGCAGCUCUGGCUUGGGCCUAACCAUCAGGUCUCAUCUCGAUGACUCUUUCUUGAGACUGCUUCCAGAGUACCUCCUGUGCCAUCCUAGUCUUCAGUCUUUCCCAGCAAUUUGUCUCCAUCGGUCACGGUGGGUUUAUCAGGCCAGGCCAGAGUGUGUGCAUCACGUGGCCUCGGCACUGUAACGCGUGCUGUCAGGCCGCGUCUUUUGGUCUGGUGUUUACUCUGUCUGGUAUUCUCGCAUCCUUAGGUCACGUUUGUAGUUUGUAUAGUGUGUGUGUGAGGUGGAGCUGCUUUGUCCGUUUGUAUAGCAAUUCUUGUUGAUGUUGGAAUGAUCCAAGCACGGGAUGACGUGUUGAUUAGCAUGGCCUGUUUGGGUGGAGGUUGCAUAAGCUGGUUUUGGGGAUAGCCUAUAGCUAUUGGUGAGCAAGUUCUAAAGUUCCUUAUUUUAUCUUUUGCAGGUGUCUAGGGCCAUUGGGAUUCUGGGAGCAAAUCCUUCCGUGAGGCUUGCUGGAACGUGCACUUCAAAGAACGGGAGGAGUAGAAGUGGUGCAAAGAGGGAAACGUAUCCCUCUGCAUGCAGUUAGGAAGGGUAAUGCUGUGAAAUCGUGUGGACUGGUGAAGUUGUGUUGAGGUGCACAGUGAUGCAGUUCCAGGGAUGGUUAUAGAAUUGGGGUGAUCUGCCACUCUGGCAGGUGAUGAAAUGGAUAUGUUUUGAGUGAGGGGUGGAAUGAGCAGAUGCCGAAUGAGUGUUAGUUUUGGAAUGUGUCUAUCCUUAUAGGUGUGGAUUACUUUUAUUUCAGGUUGUACUGAAUGUAGAGGUAGUUAAUGUUUCCUUAACAAUAAAUAAAAAACCCCCUCAA